This 301-nucleotide ribosomal RNA is filed under the name uncultured bacterium. Its description in RNAcentral is "partial 16S ribosomal RNA". It matches the Rfam family "Bacterial small subunit ribosomal RNA", at positions 509 to 809 of the family's 1533-position model. The record is from RNAcentral.
CAGCCGCCGCGGGAAUACAGAGGGUGCGAGCGUUAAUCGGAUUUACUGGGCGUAAAGCGUGCGUAGGCGGCUUUUUAAGUCGGAUGUGAAAUCCCUGAGCUUAACUUAGGAAUUGCAUUCGAUACUGGGAAGCUAGAGUAUGGGAGAGGAUGGUAGAAUUCCAGGUGUAGCGGUGAAAUGCGUAGAGAUCUGGAGGAAUACCGAUGGCGAAGGCAGCCAUCUGGCCUAAUACUGACGCUGAGGUACGAAAGCAUGGGGAGCAAACAGGAUUAGAGACCCGAGUAGUCCCUGUCUCUUAUAA